UUGGAGGGCAAGUCUGGUGCCAGCAGCCGCGGUAAUUCCAGCUCCAAUAGCGUAUAUUAAAGUUGUUGCAGUUAAAAAGCUCGUAGUUGAAUUUCGGGGUCAGUAGGUCGGUCGUGCCACUGGUAUGAACUGGUUUUACUGGUUCCUCCCUCUUGAAGAACUGUAAUGCCAUUAAUUUGGUGUUGCAGGGAAUCAGGACUGUUACUUUGAAAAAAUUAGAGUGUUUAAAGCAGGCUUUAGCUUGAAUACAUUAGCAUGGAAUAAUGAAAUAGGACGUUUGAUCCUAUUUUGUUGGUUUCUAGGAUUGACGUAAUGAUUAAUAGGGAUAGUUGGGGGCAUUAGUAUUCAAUUGUCAGAGGUGAAAUUCUUGGAUUUAUUGAAGACUAACUACUGCGAAAGCAUUUGCCAAGGAUGUUUUCAUUAAUCAAGAACGAAAGUUAGGGGAUCGAAGACGAUCAGAUACCGUCGUAGUCUUAACCAUAAACUAUGCCGACUAGGGAUCGGAUGAUGUUAAUUUUUUAAUGACUCGUUCGGCGCCUUACGGGAAAC
RNAcentral lists this ribosomal RNA (549 nucleotides) under uncultured Rhizophagus. Its description in RNAcentral is "SSU rRNA". It matches the Rfam family "Eukaryotic small subunit ribosomal RNA", at positions 548 to 1098 of the family's 1831-position model. The record is from RNAcentral. Lineage: Eukaryota; Fungi; Glomeromycota; Glomeromycetes; Glomerales; Glomeraceae.